GACGAACGCUGGCGGCGUGCUUAACACAUGCAAGUCGAACGGAAAGGCCCUGCUUUUGUGGGGUGCUCGAGUGGCGAACGGGUGAGUAACACGUGAGUAACCUGCCCUUGACUUUGGGAUAACUUCAGGAAACUGGGGCUAAUACCGGAUAGGAGCUCCUGCUGCAUGGUGGGGGUUGGAAAGUUUCGGCGGUUGGGGAUGGACUCGCGGCUUAUCAGCUUGUUGGUGGGGUAGUGGCUUACCAAGGCUUUGGCGGGUAGCCGGCCUGAGAGGGUGACCGGCCACAUUGGGACUGAGAUACGGCCCAGACUCCUACGGGAGGCAGCAGUGGGGAAUAUUGCACAAUGGGCGGAAGCCUGAUGCAGCAACGCCGCGUGCGGGAUGACGGCCUUCGGGUUGUAAACCGCUUUCGCCUGUGACGAAGCGUGAGUGACGGUAAUGGGUAAAGAAGCACCGGCUAACUACGUGCCAGCAGCCGCGGUGAUACGUAGGGUGCGAGCGUUGUCCGGAUUUAUUGGGCGUAAAGGGCUCGUAGGUGGUUGAUCGCGUCGGAAGUGUAAUCUUGGGGCUUAACCCUGAGCGUGCUUUCGAUACGGGUUGACUUGAGGAAGGUAGGGGAGAAUGGAAUUCCUGGUGGAGCGGUGGAAUGCGCAGAUAUCAGGAGGAACACCAGUGGCGAAGGCGGUUCUCUGGGCCUUUCCUGACGCUGAGGAGCGAAAGCGUGGGGAGCGAACAGGCUUAGAUACCCUGGUAGUCCACGCUGUAAACGGUGGGUACUAGGUGUGGGGUCCAUUCCACGGGUUCCGUGCCGUAGCUAACGCUUUAAGUACCCCGCCUGGGGAGUACGGCCGCAAGGCUAAAACUCAAAGGAAUUGACGGGGCCCCGCACAAGCGGCGGAGCAUGCGGAUUAAUUCGAUGCAACGCGUAGAACCUUACCUGGGUUUGACAUGGAUCGGGAGUGCUCAGAGAUGGGUGUGCCUCUUUUGGGGUCGGUUCACAGGUGGUGCAUGCCUGUCGUCAGCUCGUGUCGUGAGAUGUUGGGUUAAGUCCCGCAACGAGCGCAACCCUUGUUCACUGUUGCCAGCACGUUAUGGUGGGGACUCAGUGGAGACCGCCGGGGUCAACUCGGAGGAAGGUGGGGAUGACGUCAAGUCCUCAUGCCCCUUAUGUCCAGGGCUUCACGCAUGCUACAAUGGCUGGUACAGAGAGUGGCGAGCCUGUGAGGGUGAGCGAAUCUCGGAAAGCCGGUCUCAGUUCGGAUUGGGGUCCGCAACUCGACCUCAUGAAGUCGGAGUCGCUAGUAAUCGCAGAUCAGCAACGCUGCGGUGAAAAAGUUCCCGGGGCU
This 1346-nucleotide ribosomal RNA is filed under the name uncultured bacterium. Its description in RNAcentral is "bacterial SSU rRNA". It matches the Rfam family "Bacterial small subunit ribosomal RNA", at positions 28 to 1381 of the family's 1533-position model. The record is from RNAcentral.